UACGUAGGGUGCGAGCGUUGUCCGGAAUUAUUGGGCGUAAAGGGUUCGUAGGCGGUUUGUCGCGUCGGGAGUGAAAACCAUGGGCUUAACUCAUGGCUUGCUUUCGAUACGGGCAGACUAGAGGUAUGCAGGGGAGAACGGAAUUCCUGGUGUAGCGGUGAAAUGCGCAGAUAUCAGGAGGAACACCGGUGGCGAAGGCGGGUCUCUGGGCCGAUACUGACGCUGAGGAGCGAAAGCGUGGGGAGCGAACAGG
RNAcentral lists this ribosomal RNA (253 nucleotides) under uncultured bacterium. RNAcentral describes it as "partial 16S ribosomal RNA". It matches the Rfam family "Bacterial small subunit ribosomal RNA", at positions 524 to 776 of the family's 1533-position model. The record is from RNAcentral.